CGUUUAGUCUCACGGUAGAGUAGAGGACUGAAAAUCCUCGUCUCACCAGUUCAAAUCUGGUACCUAGAGGA
Non-coding RNA from Corchorus olitorius, 71 nucleotides. The record is from the annotation of a GenBank genome assembly. NCBI's taxonomy places the organism in Eukaryota, Viridiplantae, Streptophyta, Magnoliopsida, Malvales, Malvaceae.